Dalotia coriaria is the source of this 610-nucleotide long non-coding RNA. RefSeq lists it as uncharacterized. The record is from RefSeq and is a predicted model, not a curated record. The transcript has 2 exons. NCBI's taxonomy places the organism in Eukaryota, Metazoa, Arthropoda, Insecta, Coleoptera, Staphylinidae.
CACACAAACACCACAUUCACGCUCGCAUAUAUCGUCAUGGUUACGGCAAUAACUUGUUAUGCAAUUUUGCAACGAUUGCAAGAGAAUUUCAAGUCGGCGGUGGCUGACUACGCACAUUCCUAUUGUGUCGCAACGAAUACACACGGAGAAUGUGCGAGUUUUGUCAGUUCAACGAGCUGUGAGAUAAAGAUGAACCGCAGGAUGAGUGUGCGGAGUGGCGAGGUCGAAAUGUCAAACGGUUUUUUCCUGCGUCUCUUCGCAGGCUCGCCGCGGUCGUCGUCGCGGGCCGGCGAGGUGGAAGAAGCGAGUUGACUGGAGUUGAGGCUAAGCAGAACCGGAUUCAUACAAUCUUCCACCGACAUCAGUUUGAGUCAUCAACACAUUUUGAAAUUCUUUUGACCAACAUUACAAACACAGACUGUGUUUAUGUUUAAAUUUUGUUUCUACCUGCUUGGUUAUUUAGUAGGUUUAGUUGGUUUAGUUUCCUGCCUUUUGAUAAUCCGACCAGCCGAGGUAAACAGCUUGCUUGCACGAAGCAAGCAACGAAAUAUCGUGCGUUUUGAGUUUUGUGUCUCGAUGUGCCCACGAAAAUAUACCUACUAUAAAUGUU